RNAcentral lists this long non-coding RNA (659 nucleotides) under Triticum aestivum (bread wheat). RNAcentral describes it as "long non-coding RNA (TAES_LNC017220)". Lineage: Eukaryota; Viridiplantae; Streptophyta; Magnoliopsida; Poales; Poaceae. The record is from RNAcentral.
UGGUGAUACUCACCUUGGUGGUGAUGACUUUGACAAGGUAUUCUUCAUAUGCCCAUCUGUCUCGUGUGUGAUUUCGAACUUAUUUAGUCUGCUUCAUCUUGUUUGCUGUUUGUUUGGUUAGAACGUACCUCAAUUUUGCAUAUGUACUCUGUGUUUGUAGUCUUGCCUGCAUAAUAGGAAUGCAAAAGGGAUGUACACUUCACUGUUUAUUGAGUUUCUUACUUGACAAAAAAAAGUUAUAAUUGCUUGCAAUUCUCUGGUUCUAGUCUUCUACAGGCAGGAGAGCAAUGUGUGAGCAGCAUAAUAGGCUCUAAGUAUCUUACGCUUUUCAUUGGAUCCCUGGUUACAGAUAACAUCUAUGCUCGUUACCAGUGAGGUCGUGUGUCUUUCAGUUAUUAGAAUCUGCAUUAGGCAGUAUGUAUGUGCAUUUUGACAGCCAAAGAGAUGAAAUAACAUCCUUAUCUCACACUUACUGAUAACCUUCGCCCUUGUUCGCAUGAGUCUUCAGCACCUUUUUUAUGAUUCUGCAUGAUUUAUAUGUUCUCACAAAUAAUUCUGUUACCAGAGAAUUGUUGAUUGGCUGGCUGGGAGCUUCAAGAAUGAUGAGGGUAUUGACCUGCUAAAAGACAAGCAAGCUCUCCAGCGUCUUACAGAAGCAG